This 993-nucleotide long non-coding RNA is filed under the name Ricinus communis (castor bean). Its description in RNAcentral is "long non-coding RNA (RCOM_LNC003591)". The record is from RNAcentral. Lineage: Eukaryota; Viridiplantae; Streptophyta; Magnoliopsida; Malpighiales; Euphorbiaceae.
GAAGGCUGAGAAUGCUGAGCAUAUCCUUCAGAAGCAAGCUGAAGAGUUCGCUACUAAGGAGCACAAAUGGGAAGACGAGCUUCAUACGACAAAUGCUCAAUCAGAAAAUGCUACUACUCAACUUAGCUCUAUCAUAGCUGAGAAAAGGGAUGCAGAUUUUCGUAUUGCCGAGCUACAACUGGAAUGUGCCACUAUUCAGAGAUGGCGUUUCUUCUAUCUAGCUAUGAGGAGGUUGUUAAAGAGGUUAUGAAGGCUAAGUUUUAUGAUGCUGGCUUGACCUUUGAUGAGCAUAGUUUUACACAUAUUUGCUUGCAUAUUAUUGCGUAUGUUCUUAGCAAUUAUUGUGCUUUUAUUCCCAGAUCACCCGUGUUUUAUGUUCUUUUGCAUUUCAGGAACAUUUAUAGGACCAUCAUCGGUGUUUAAGCAAUUAUAGAUCAAUACGUGCAGAAACAGACGAGAAUUCAUCAAGAUCAGACAAGAGCCCGCGUUGCACACAUUGAGCACGGCCUGAGUCAAGGCCGUGCUGACCAUCACGGCCUAGACUCUGGCCGUGACCAACCAUCAAAACUUGGUCUUCAAAACAAUAGUUUGAGCACAGUUUCCGUAUCCACCACGGCCUCCAGCACGGCCCGUGGUGGCCAGCAUGGGGAGCAACACGGUCAUGGUGAAACCCUAGUUGGUGAGAUCCACAGUUUCAGCACGGCAUGGACUCCGGCCGUGCUGACCAGCACGGCCUUGACCACGGCCGUGCUGAGUUAAAUAUAUAAGAAAAAUUCAUUUUUCUUAGAGAAAAAGGGGGAAAAAGAGUGACAUUGAGCCCUAGUGGCUGGUUCGGUUUCUGCACAAUACUGAGUGCGAGAGAGAGUUGCAGUGAGUAAGAAUCCCGGAAUCGUAAGAUUCCGAGUGCAAAACAGUAGUGGAGCAAUUCAAGAGGCAGUUUGGGAGAUUAAUCAAAGUGUAGAUCUAGAUUUGGAGCUGUUCAUCCAAUUCGAG